GUCCUUUGAUUUUGGGGAAUAUAGAAGACAAGUGGACCUUUUAAUACAUGCUAGUGGACGAAAGCUAUGGUAACAAGGCGGAAGUUUGCGAACAGGUGAGGAAAUCCGGGGCCCAAGCCUCAGAGUUGGGCCGGAGUCGUAUUAGGUAGAAGGCGGUGUAAAGGACCACCUUGCCGAAGAUGCGCCGCUUUAACCCGAAGCCACACUUGCACUGAAACAAGGGGAAGACUCAGGACGUCCUUUUGGGCGAGGCAGCAGUAGAGAAUCUUGUGCAAUAUACGAAAGUAUGACACAGAGAGCACACAUCCACCUAGUCCGUCAAAUUAAGUGCCAGCAGACGCGGUUAGACUUAAGGGCUAGCCUUUAUAGGUAACAAGGCGUAAAGGGUGUGUAGGCCCCCGUUAGAGCCUUAAGAGGGUAAAUGAAAUUUUUCUGUAACGGUAGAAUGUGUAGAUAGAAAAUAGAACUCCAAAGGCUAAGGCAAUUUACCUCAGAUAAAACACUACUACGAGAGCGAAGCUCUUUUAUGGGGCUGAAACACGAAAGUGUGGGGAGCAAACAGGAUUAGAGACCCUGGUAGUCCACACUGUGAACUAUGAAGAAAAUGUUAAGCAACUCUGAAAGGUAAUAAAUCUUCCGCCUGAGUAGUACGAUCGCAAGAUUAAAAUUCAAAGAAUUUGACUGUUCACUGUUUCGAUUAGAGGAGCGUGUAGUUUAAUUCGAUAAUCCGCGAGAAACCUUACCCAAACUCGAACCGCUAGACCGGUAUUGCAUGGCCGUCGUCAGUUCGUGUGUGAAACUUAAAACGGACUCAACCCGAGGGCAAGUCUCUCGGAUGAAGUCAGGUCUUAUGAUCCUAAUGUUUGGGGAUUAUAUGCGCUACAUUUUCUUAUACAAUGGGAGACCCGGGCGGUGAAACCCAAAAGUAAGAGUUCGGAAGGUAACUGUAAUACGGCCGAAAGUUGGAUUUAAUAGUAAUCGGAAAGUAGAGCGUUCCGGUGAAUUGGUGCAAGUGUUAGUACAAAUCGCCCGUCACCUUUGCCAAGGACGAUAGUUCGGAAGCCGCCCUGUUGUGGCGGUUACGAAUAUCUACGAGGUUGAGCAAGUCGUAACAUAGUGAGGGAGGGGGAACCCUCCCUUG
This 1141-nucleotide ribosomal RNA is filed under the name Telopathes sp. NB-2020. RNAcentral's name for it is "12S ribosomal RNA". It matches the Rfam family "Bacterial small subunit ribosomal RNA". Lineage: Eukaryota; Metazoa; Cnidaria; Anthozoa; Antipatharia; Schizopathidae. The record is from RNAcentral.